RNAcentral lists this ribosomal RNA (468 nucleotides) under uncultured bacterium. Its description in RNAcentral is "partial 16S ribosomal RNA". It matches the Rfam family "Bacterial small subunit ribosomal RNA", at positions 28 to 506 of the family's 1533-position model. The record is from RNAcentral.
GAUGAACGCUGGCGGCGUGCUUAACACAUGCGAGUCGAACGGUGAAGCUCCAGCUUGCUGGAGUGGAUCAGUGGCGAACGGGUGAGUAACACGUGAGCAACCUGCCCCUGACUCUGGGAUAACAGCCGGAAACGGCUGCUAAUACCGGAUAUGCACCAUGAACGCAUGUUCUGUGGUGGGAAAGAUUUUUCGGUUGGGGAUGGGCUCGCGGCCUAUCAGCUUGUUGGUGAGGUAAUGGCUCACCAAGGCGUCGACGGGUAGCCGGCCUGAGAGGGUGACCGGCCCACCGGGGCUGGGGCCACGGCCCAGCCCCCCCCGGGGGGCAGGGGGGGGGAAUAUUGCAAAAGGGGGGAAAGCCUGAUGCAGCAACCCCGGGUGGGGGAGGACGGCCUUGGGGUUUUAACCCUUUUUUAGCAGGAAAGAAGCGGGGGGGCCGGUACCUGCAAAAAAAGCCCCGGCUAACUACGU